RNAcentral lists this ribosomal RNA (469 nucleotides) under uncultured bacterium. Its description in RNAcentral is "partial 16S ribosomal RNA". It matches the Rfam family "Bacterial small subunit ribosomal RNA", at positions 28 to 507 of the family's 1533-position model. The record is from RNAcentral.
GACGAACGCUGGCGGCGUGCUUAACACAUGCAAGUCGAACGGAAAGGCCCUGCUUGCAGGGUGCUCGAGUGGCGAACGGGUGAGUAACACGUGGGUGAUCUGCCCCUCACUUUGGGAUAAGCCUGGGAAACUGGGUCUAAUACUGGAUAGGACCAUGCUGUAGGUGGUGUGGUGGAAAGAUUAGUUUCGGUAAGGGAUGAGCUCGCGGCCUAUCAGCUUGUUGGUGGGGUAAUGGCCUACCAAGGCGUCGACGGGUAGCCGGCCUGAGAGGGUGGACGGCCACAUUGGGACUGAGAUACGGCCCAGACUCCUACGGGAGGCAGCAGUGGGGAAUAUUGCACAAUGGGCGCAAGCCUGAUGCAGCGACGCCGCGUGGGGGAUGACGGCCUUCGGGUUGUAAACUCCUUUCAGCCAUGACGAAGCCCUUGUGGUGACGGUAGUGGUAGAAGAAGCACCGGCUAACUACGUG